RNAcentral lists this transfer RNA (80 nucleotides) under Burkholderia cepacia. RNAcentral describes it as "tRNA-Ala(ggc)". The record is from RNAcentral. Lineage: Bacteria; Pseudomonadati; Pseudomonadota; Betaproteobacteria; Burkholderiales; Burkholderiaceae.
UCGAGCGCGGGCGACGGUUUCAGCGUUGCCGGAGCCGCCGGCGACGGCUGCGCAUGCGCGUGCUGCACGCGGCGCUCGGC